This is a long non-coding RNA of Drosophila montana, 1695 nucleotides long. RefSeq lists it as uncharacterized. Lineage: Eukaryota; Metazoa; Arthropoda; Insecta; Diptera; Drosophilidae. The record is from RefSeq and is a predicted model, not a curated record. The transcript is spliced from 5 exons.
AAAUGACAUAAAAUUCGAUAUUAUUUUCAUAAAUUAAUUUUAUUAGACAAUUUAAAAUAUGUUACUUAUCAAUCCAGUAUAAAACAACUUUAAUUUGCUAAUAAAUGGUCAGACAUACAGAAGAGAGAACAUGCGUGGCGCCAAUUACCCGGAUAAAUUAGAUAAAAUACAAGCACUUAAAAAAAAAGUUUAAAACAUAGUCUUCUUUGCGGUAACAUAUUUGUUUUUUUACAUUAUUGUUUCAUUUAGGCCGACAAAAAAGGAAAAUAUUGUUGUUUCUAAAGUAAAAUUUUCGUAAACGUCUUUUCGCUAAUAUGUAUCAACAUAACCAUACCUUUAAAAAAAGCUGUGAAAUUAACAAUAAGCAUACAAUGGCUUGUAUCUGGUUUGAUAGAACGCCUUUCCGAGCUAUCACAAUUACCCAAGAAAUGGAGUUAAAUUAACAGAUACGGAACAUUCCAGUUCAACCGAAUUUAAUAGUCGCUUAGCGCAUUGGCUGUCCACUGCUAAUAACUGUCUCACUGGCUGAUAACAUCGGCAAAAGGGAAGGCAAUGAUUUGCUUUUACUGUUGCGAAAAAACUCCUGGUACUUUAAAAUGUACUCCACGUGGUAAUGUAAAACGAAUUAUUGAGCUAGGUGAGUAUGUUGACUAUGGUUUAAAAGACGCGUUAACUAAUUUCCUUACUAAUUUUCAGAGGUCGCAAAUAACAGUCAACACUUAUUUUCAAUGCGGUCAGCACUCAAAUAAACAGAAAAAAAAGAAGCAGAUUCGCUGUCCAUCGAACACUUUAUUUCGUUGCGCUUGUGUACUCUGUUCGUGCUUUUGCUUGAGGAUUGCCGCUGUUAUGUCCAACAGUAAUAUCUUAACAGGACACAUUCGUUCGGUCGCACAGAAAAUGUGUGUCUGUCGAAGAACAAAACGAAAAAAGUGGAAGCGAAAAGUGUCUUUUCUUGUUGUUGUCGUGUGACGAUAUCAAUGAAAGCUAGAGUGAAAGAGAGAGAGAGAGAAAAAAAUGACACGACAUAAUACAGUUAUGCAUACCUAUCUAAUAUUCCAUCAAAAACUCAAGGAAAUAUUAUUUAAAAAAUUCAAUGCAAUAACUUCGAAAUAUUGAACCUAUUAAGACAACGCAUAGACAAAACAAAUGAGAUGAUGACGAAAAUUGAUCGUCAAGGAGGAGAAAUUAUUUAAUUAAGAAACGAAAUUUAUCUUAUAAAGGGACGAGUUUGCCGAGAGGCACACAAGGCGAAAUUGACGCUGCCAAGUGCACCGAACGCUACUAUUGGAGACUUUGAGGCAUUUGAAGAAUGUCUCAAAGAAGAGAAAUCCUCCAAGAAUUUGGCAAAGAAGCUUUAAAUUAAAUAAUUUCACUAUUCGCUUAUAAAUCUGACAUGUCCCUCAAGAUCAUUGAAUUAUUCGCAAGCUCUGAAAAACACGACAUUUCCAUCAGCAGCUCCUGGGGCCAGACGAUGUUGCAAAACAAUGCUCCUGGCGUGCGACGGAAAAACAAAAAAUAUGUGUUAGAGGCCUUCGAACCACAUUAGCAAAUCGGAAAGUUUGCGCUGGAAGACGGUGACUUUGACCGCGUAAAACAAACAUUUUUUCAAUACGCGCAGGAAAGAGUGUCGCGCUUAGUCAAGCCUGAUGCCAAAAAUAAGAAAAUAUAUCUUUUAAGACUUUUUUAAUAUUGUUG